RNAcentral lists this ribosomal RNA (292 nucleotides) under uncultured bacterium. Its description in RNAcentral is "partial 16S ribosomal RNA". It matches the Rfam family "Bacterial small subunit ribosomal RNA", at positions 505 to 796 of the family's 1533-position model. The record is from RNAcentral.
GUGUCAGCCGCCGCGGUAAUACAGAGGGUGCAAGCGUUAAUCGGAAUUACUGGGCGUAAAGCGCGCGUAGGCGGCUUGCUAAGUCGGAUGUGAAAUCCCCGGGCUUAACCUGGGAAUGGCAUUCGAUACUGGUAGGCUAGAGUUUGAUAGAGGGUAGUGGAAUUCCCAGUGUAGCGGUGAAAUGCGUAGAUAUUGGGAGGAACAUCAGUGGCGAAGGCGGCUACCUGGAUCAAAACUGACGCUGAGGUGCGAAAGCGUGGGGAGCAAACAGGAUUAGAUACCCCAGUAGUCC